CUCUUUUUCAUUUCAUCCGGCAUGGAGAAAGGACGUGUUUUUACCUCUUCUGAGAAUUUAUUAAAAAUUCCUGAACUUGAACCAAGCUGAAAUUAUAAAAAUGAAAACGAUGUGAAAAUCAUGAAAAUUUAUUAAAAAUGAAGCAGAUUGCUUGGAAAAGCCAUUGAAGGUUGAAAAAUUCAAUGGCGGAUUGUUUCAAAGGCAUCAAUUUUGACUGAAAAGUGUUUCAGGACAUUUUUCAUGGCGAAAUUUCAGAAAAUUGAAGAAAUUAUGAAAAUUUCAUUAAAAAGUUUUUCUACGAUUUUUGGUCAUGGAAACGAUUUUAAAGGCAAUUUUAUUGUAAAAAAGAAAUUUUCAAUGCUGAUGCGUGCUUUUGAUCUAAAAACACCAAAAAUUGUCGUCUAAGUACAUUCAAGUGAAUAAAAAAUUAAUUUUUUAAA
Culicoides brevitarsis is the source of this 440-nucleotide long non-coding RNA. RefSeq lists it as uncharacterized. The transcript is spliced from 6 exons. Lineage: Eukaryota; Metazoa; Arthropoda; Insecta; Diptera; Ceratopogonidae. The record is from RefSeq and is a predicted model, not a curated record.